Molecule: ribosomal RNA, 474 nt
Filed under: uncultured bacterium
Lineage: Bacteria
Description: bacterial SSU rRNA
Rfam family: Bacterial small subunit ribosomal RNA
Source: RNAcentral
GACGAACGCUGGCGGCGUGCUUAACACAUGCAAGUCGAGCGAUGAAGCUCCUUCGGGAGUGGAUUAGCGGCGGACGGGUGAGUAACACGUGGGCAACCUGCCUUGUAGAGAGGAAUAGCCAUUCGAAAGGAUGAUUAAUACCUCAUAAUAUUGUAGUUUCGCAUGAAGCAAUAAUCAAAGGAGCAAUCCACUACAAGAUGGGCCCGCGGCGCAUUAGCUAGUUGGUGAGGUAACGGCUCACCAAGGCGACGAUGCGUAGCCGACCUGAGAGGGUGAUCGGCCACAUUGGGACUGAGACACGGCCCAGACUCCUACGGGAGGCAGCAGUGGGGAAUAUUGCACAAUGGGGGAAACCCUGAUGCAGCAACGCCGCGUGAGUGAUGACGGUCUUCGGAUUGUAAAGCUCUGUCUUCAGGGACGAUAAUGACGGUACCUGAGGAGGAAGCCACGGCUAACUACGUGCCAGCAGCCGAC